Pristis pectinata (smalltooth sawfish) is the source of this 274-nucleotide long non-coding RNA. RefSeq lists it as uncharacterized. Lineage: Eukaryota; Metazoa; Chordata; Chondrichthyes; Rhinopristiformes; Pristidae. The record is from RefSeq and is a predicted model, not a curated record. The transcript is spliced from 3 exons.
CAGCAAUCGAUUUAGAAGUUUGUCCAGUCCAUUCAGCUGUUCUUCUUCCCAGCGACCUUGGUACUAAAGUGCAUCGUGAUUUUUGGAAGCUUUGAGCAGAAGCUAUUGGCGUGGAAUCUGUGACCAGAUUUGCUGCAGGAUCUGAAGCUGUUAAAAUCCACAUGAAAUCAAUGAAGUCUCUGAUCCCAUGCCCAGUCUGUCCUGGUGCAAUAUCCGUGUAGUGAUUUCCCCUUCACAAUGCUGGGGAAUCAUGUCAAAACCUGGCUCUACUGUU